UACGUAGGGCGCAAGCGUUGUCCGGAAUUAUUGGGCGUAAAGAGCUCGUAGGUGGUUGGUCGCGUCUGCCGUGAAAACCCAUGGCUUAACUGUGGGCUUGCGGUGGAUACGGGCCGACUUGAGGUAGGUAGGGGAGAAUGGAAUUCCCGGUGUAGCGGUGAAAUGCGCAGAUAUCGGGAGGAACACCGGUGGCGAAGGCGGUUCUCUGGGCCUUACCUGACGCUGAGGAGCGAAAGCGUGGGGAGCGAACAGG
RNAcentral lists this ribosomal RNA (253 nucleotides) under uncultured bacterium. RNAcentral's name for it is "partial 16S ribosomal RNA". It matches the Rfam family "Bacterial small subunit ribosomal RNA", at positions 524 to 776 of the family's 1533-position model. The record is from RNAcentral.